GUGGGGGCAGGGGUCAUCUGGGGCCUGUAAGUUCUUACUGUCAUUCUUCGGGCCACCCCUUCCAGCUGUGAGGCCUCCAGCCGCAUUCUCUGGGCGAUCCUCAGCGGGGGCCUCCUUCUGAGAGAGGCAGGGAUCGGUGGGCCAGGACAUUGUUGCCAGAGACAAAGUGGAGCUGGACAGCAGCUGUGUCAUUCUUGAGAGCCAGCAGGCCCUGCCACACGAUGGGAUACUUCUGUUCACAGGGAAACAAAGCAGAAGUAAGUUUGGGGCUGGAGAGCUGAGAGCAGGCCAUGCUGGCUGUGGCCCUAGGCAGCAUCUCGAUGGCCUAAGUCAACUGGGGAAUCCUAGCAUACUAAACCCAGCACACAGCUUGGGAGAUGGUGGAGGCAGCCCUCGCCCAUGCUUACCUUCAGAAGCUGGACCAUAUCCACAGAUCUCUGGGAAGUCAGGUGUGGAGAGGAAUCUGGCUUGGAGGCUGGCUGGACUUCAGUGUGGGCAGGGCCAGCCCUGGUGGGGUGCUUGGGCCUGAGGUUGUGGGAACAAAUAAUGGCUGCUUUGGGGCAGCCUGGGUGGGCAGAGGGGCCGGGAGGUCCGGCUUCAUGGAGACAGACACGGGGGAGGGGUAGGAAGUCUGGCCUCCUUCCACUUGCGCCCUCUGAACCUGGGGGGUAUGGGGUUCAGGUGGCCUGGAUGCUGGUACAGUUGGGAGGCGGGGUUGCUCAAUUCCUCCUGUCUGAGUCCCCUUUGCUUCUUGGGAAACCUGAGGCAUCUUGCUACAUGGUGGCUGGCCAGGCUGGCUGAGUUGGGAGGGAUUACAGGGCGGCACAGGCAGAGCAGGCUGUGUGGACUGCACAGGCGGGGCAGGCUGUGCAGACUGUGCAGGCUGAAUGGGCUGCAAGGGCUCACCUUCAGGAGUGCCCUAGUGUUGGAAAAGAAGGCAAGGGAACAGAGUCAGAGUCUGCUAUGCACAGGCCCCCUGCUCCCAACGAAGGGCCCAAUGGGCC
Molecule: long non-coding RNA, 1004 nt
Filed under: Heterocephalus glaber (naked mole-rat)
Lineage: Eukaryota; Metazoa; Chordata; Mammalia; Rodentia; Bathyergidae
Description: lncRNA (ENSHGLG00100038703.1)
Source: RNAcentral